GAUGCGGACCCAUUCAUUUCAAUAGGGCCGCAAAAGAUGCGGAUAGCAUUCAGUAUGCUGUCCGCAUCCGCAAUUCCAUUCUGUUCCGUUAUGUCCUACUUUUGGCCGCAAAUUGCGGUCCGUGGCCCCAUUGUAUUCAAUGAGUCCGCAAAAAUGCGGAUGACAUGCGGAAAGGUACCAAAUGUCAUCCGCAAUUGCGGAUCCGCAGGAAGUUAAAAAAAAAUUGCUCCGUGACCUUCAGCACCAGGGAGAGCUGAGGAGAAGAAGUGGUGUGAAGUCACAGAUAGUGAAACUAAUGCAAAAUGACGUCUUUUGAGGUAGAAAAAAUGAUAAUUCUGAUACAGGAGAGGCCUGCCUUGUGGGACACAAGAGCCGAAGUCUACCAUGACUGGAUCAUGAAGGACCGAGCAUGGGAAGAAAUUGCCAAAUAGCUGGUAGCAACAGCAUGGGACUCUGCAUCAGUGUCCAAGAAAGAAAAAAUAAUCCAGCAAAUCAAAAAGAGAUGGAAUACCUGCCGGGACCAAUUCUGCAGGGAAUUAAAUAUUAAAAGCAAGAGUGGUGAUGGAGCCAUAAACAAACAAAAAAUAACUAUAUGUAUACCCGGCACCUUCAAUUUCUUAUUCCAAUAAUGGAUUUAAGAAGAACUGUGGACAACCUCUCGGAUACUUCAAAGCCAGAUCGGAAAAUCAAGAAGAGGUCACAGAAGUAUGCUAUUCAAGAACCAGUCCAGGCCAAUCUAGAACCCAGCCAGCAACAAAGAGCAGCACCUGUUAGCCGUUCAUCUGCCAGACGAGGCCAAAGGGUCAUAACUAGUUCCGGUUUAGAUCUCCGUGAUCAGGUAGAUAUGAUGGUUAUGGAGUAUCUAAACCGGAAUCUGUCUGACGGCAAGGAAAGAAGUAGCUUUAAAAGGGCUCGCUCCUUCCUUGCGCCGCGUGCCAGAUGAACGGCAAACACAGUGCCUUUCUGCGUUGGUCAUGGUAAUAGAUGAAUUUACGGACCCUGCAGAGCCACAUGACGUUCUUCACUUUUUAGAAAAAAGAAGAGAUCAAAGAUUAAACGUCAUAACUCCUCAUUCCCGUCUUAACAGACCGGACACCCCAAUUGUGCACACCCCUGGCCCAUAUACUAGGGAAUUAUUUGACUUAUAAUUGUUUUUUGCUUUAAAGUAUAACUGUCAUAUAUUUUUUUUUGGGGGGGGGAGUAUUGGAUUGU
Molecule: long non-coding RNA, 1212 nt
Organism: Bufo gargarizans (Asiatic toad)
Lineage: Eukaryota; Metazoa; Chordata; Amphibia; Anura; Bufonidae
Exons: 3
Source: RefSeq, a predicted model, not a curated record